Molecule: long non-coding RNA, 601 nt
Filed under: Phoenix dactylifera (date palm)
Lineage: Eukaryota; Viridiplantae; Streptophyta; Magnoliopsida; Arecales; Arecaceae
Description: long non-coding RNA (PDAC_LNC002595)
Source: RNAcentral
CUACAUGGAUCUUUCUCGGAGGGGGAGGAGAGGAGGCUUCUUCUAUUCUUCUCUCAGCUCUUCUCCAAGGGGUUUCUCUUGGGGGUAAACCCUAAGGAAAGGAUCCAAAGAUCCAACGAGCAUCUCAGAAAGCCAGGGCUCUGAUUUCAUGGGUUCAUGGCUCGCUAUGAUGCUGAUAUUGUUUCAUUUUCUCUAAAUUUCUUAAUUUUAUUAGCUAUUUUUUAGUUGUUUUUGCGAUCUCUUGGGGAUUUCUGGAUCUGAUAAUGGUUGGUGAUGGCUGUAUUUUUUUCUAAACUUGCAGGUGAACAGAAGAAUCAUCGUCUGAGUGCAAGUCUUAUGCUUUCUUUCUUUUUCAAAAAUGUUAUAAUGUGUUUAGGAGAAAUAUUUAAAUUUUGCAAGUUUUGUGUUGGAAAAAGCUUUUGUAAAUUACUUCACAUUAGUUGUUAUUAUCAUGAAAUUUUAUAAAAUUUGGUGCUUUUGUGUUUGAGGAUUUCCUUGGAACUGCCUUUUUGCUUAUUAAAACAAUUAAAGGAAUAAUUAAAUUAAAAAUAGGUAUAUUCUCAAAAUGAAAAAUCAGGGGUAUUUAUCAGUUGUAUCCUCA